Molecule: ribosomal RNA, 468 nt
Filed under: uncultured bacterium
Lineage: Bacteria
Description: partial 16S ribosomal RNA
Rfam family: Bacterial small subunit ribosomal RNA
Source: RNAcentral
GACGAACGCUGGCGGCGUGCUUAACACAUGCAAGUCGAACGGAAAGGCCCUGCUUUUGUGGGGUGCUCGAGUGGCGAACGGGUGAGUAACACGUGAGUAACCUGCCCUUGACUUUGGGAUAACUUCAGGAAACUGGGGCUAAUACCGGAUAGGAGCUCCUGCUGCAUGGUGGGGGUUGGAAAGUUUCGGCGGUUGGGGAUGGACUCGCGGCUUAUCAGCUUGUUGGUGGGGUAGUGGCUUACCAAGGCUUUGACGGGUAGCCGGCCUGAGAGGGUGACCGGCGACAUUGGGACUGAGAUACGGCCCAGACUCCUACGGGAGGCAGCAGGGGGGAGUAUUGCACAAUGGGCGGAAGCCUGAUGCGACAACGCCGCGUGCGGGAUGACGGCCUUCGGGUUGUAAACCGCUUUCGCCUGUGACGAAGCGUGAGUGACGGUAAUGGGUAAAGAAGCACCGGCUAACUACGUG